ACGAUCCAUGGCAACCUGAAUAGCUCCGGCUUGGGAGGCUCCACCGCACCUGCACUUAUAUUUAUAGCCAAACUGUGGCCCCCCGGUCGUUCCGAUGCGGGUGGCUCCAAUAAAGGCGGGCGCACCGAACCCGGAGCCGUUCCAGCUCUCGAGGCGUAUCCUCCCACGAUCUCCUAAGCCUCGUUCUCCUUAAUUGCAUUCUUCAUGCAGAACACUCCGGGCGGUGUGUAUCCCACGGCCCACGUAUCUCCGCUCGCGCCCAGGCCGCAUCCGCCUCGAAGAACGCGCGUAUCGCGGCCGCUUAACUGACACUCCUUGCAAGCAGCAACUGGCGAUCUGAUUUCCCAGGUAACGCCUCAAUUAGCAUUUAAUACCCUUCUGGUGUUCCCCAGGCGACGCUUGGAGAAGAGGAGAAACACGAUCGUAGCUGGCCACGGAGAAAUCUCGUCGAGCGGCAAGCGACAGGCGCGUGACCAACGAGCGGAAUU
Molecule: long non-coding RNA, 488 nt
Filed under: Phoenix dactylifera (date palm)
Lineage: Eukaryota; Viridiplantae; Streptophyta; Magnoliopsida; Arecales; Arecaceae
Description: long non-coding RNA (PDAC_LNC008136)
Source: RNAcentral